This 492-nucleotide ribosomal RNA is filed under the name uncultured bacterium. RNAcentral's name for it is "partial 16S ribosomal RNA". It matches the Rfam family "Bacterial small subunit ribosomal RNA", at positions 29 to 507 of the family's 1533-position model. The record is from RNAcentral.
AGUGAACGCUGGCAGUAGGCCUAACACAUGCGAGUCGAACGGCAGCACAGUAAGAGCUUGCUCUUACGGGUGGCGAGUGGCGGACGGGUGAGGAAUACAUCGGAAUCUACUUUUUCGUGGGGGAUAACGUAGGGAAACUUACGCUAAUACCGCAUACGACCUACGGGUGAAAGCAGGGGAUCUUCGGACCUUGCGCGAUUGAAUGAGCCGAUGUCGGAUUAGCUAGUUGGCGGGGUAAAGGCCCACCAAGGCGACGAUCCGUAGCUGGUCUGAGAGGAUGAUCAGCCACACUGGAACUGAGACACGGUCCAGACUCCUACGGGAGGCAGCAGUGGGGAAUAUUGGACAAUGGGCGCAAGCCUGAUCCAGCCAUACCGCGUGGGUGAAGAAGGCCUUCGGGUUGUAAAGCCCUUUUGUUGGGAAAGAAAAGCAGCAGGUUAAUACCCCGCUGUUCUGACGGUACCCAAAGAAUAAGCACCGGCUAACUUCGUG